RNAcentral lists this ribosomal RNA (460 nucleotides) under uncultured bacterium. Its description in RNAcentral is "partial 16S ribosomal RNA". It matches the Rfam family "Bacterial small subunit ribosomal RNA", at positions 338 to 795 of the family's 1533-position model. The record is from RNAcentral.
CCUACGGGAGGCAGCAGUGAGGAAUAUUGGUCAAUGGCCGGAAGGCUGAACCAGCCAUGUCGCGUGAAGGUCAGUGCCCUUUGGGCGUUAAACUUCUUUUGUGCGGGAGCAAUAAUGGUCACGUGUGGCCAGACGAGAGUACCGUACGAAUAAGCAUCGGCUAACUCCGUGCCAGCAGCCGCGGUAAUACGGGGGAUGCAAGCGUUAUCCGGGUUUAUUGGGUUUAAAGGGUGCGUAGGCUGUGAGGUAAGUCAGCGGGGAAAUGCCCCCGCUCAACGGGGUGAAGUGCCAUUGAUACUGCCUUGCUGGAAUGCGGAUGACGUGGGAGGAAUGUGUGGUGUAGCGGUGAAAUGCAUAGAUAUCACACAGAACACCGAUUGCGAAGGCAUCUCACGAAUCCGCGAUUGACGCUGAUGCACGAAAGCGUGGGUAUCAAACAGGAUUAGAUACCCCUGUAGUC